ACACGUCUACAUUAGAUACCCCCCGUAGUCCCAGCCGUAAACUAUGCGCGUUAGGUGUAUCGGUGACCACGAGUCACCGAGGUGCCGAAGGGAAACCGUGAAACGUGCCGCCUGGGAAGUACGGUCGCAAGGCUGAAACUUAAAGGAAUUGGCGGGGGAGCACCACAACAGGUGGAGCCUGCGGUUUAAUUGGACUCAACGCCGGGAAGCUCACCGGAUAGGACAGCAGAAUGAUUGCCGGGCUGAAGACUCUGCAUGACUAGCUG
This 266-nucleotide ribosomal RNA is filed under the name uncultured archaeon. RNAcentral's name for it is "partial 16S ribosomal RNA". It matches the Rfam family "Archaeal small subunit ribosomal RNA", at positions 717 to 982 of the family's 1478-position model. The record is from RNAcentral.